GAGGCCAUAGCUCAAGUGAUAGAGCGCAUGCUUAGCAUGCAUGAGGUCCUGGGUUCAAUCCCUAGUGUCUCCU
This 73-nucleotide transfer RNA is filed under the name Camelus bactrianus (Bactrian camel). It matches the Rfam family "tRNA". From Rfam's summary of the family: Transfer RNA (tRNA) molecules are approximately 80 nucleotides in length. Their secondary structure includes four short double-helical elements and three loops (D, anti-codon, and T loops). RNAcentral also lists the same sequence under 2 other names. Lineage: Eukaryota; Metazoa; Chordata; Mammalia; Artiodactyla; Camelidae. The record is from Rfam by way of RNAcentral.